AAUGAACGCUGGCGGCGCGCCUAAUACAUGCAAGUCGAGCGAGAAGACGUAGCAAUACGUUUGUAAAGCGGCGAACGGGUGAGGAAUACAUGGGUAACCUACCCUAGAGUGGGGAAUAACUAGCCGAAAGGUUAGCUAAUACCGCGUACGCUCCUUGGACUUCGGUUCAGGGAGGAAAGCGAUGCCGAGGGUAUCGCGCUCUUGGAUGGGCUCAUGUCCUAUCAGCUUGUUGGGAGGUAACGGCUCACCAAGGCUUCGACGGGUAGCUGGUCUGAGAGGACGAUCAGCCACACUGGCACUGCGACACGGGGCCAGACUCCUACGGGAGGCAGCAGUAAGGAAUAUUGCGCAAUGGGCGAAAGCCUGACGCAGCGACGCCGCGGUGGGGGA
This 390-nucleotide ribosomal RNA is filed under the name uncultured bacterium. RNAcentral describes it as "bacterial SSU rRNA". It matches the Rfam family "Bacterial small subunit ribosomal RNA", at positions 29 to 408 of the family's 1533-position model. The record is from RNAcentral.